RNAcentral lists this ribosomal RNA (254 nucleotides) under uncultured bacterium. Its description in RNAcentral is "partial 16S ribosomal RNA". It matches the Rfam family "Bacterial small subunit ribosomal RNA", at positions 15 to 263 of the family's 1533-position model. The record is from RNAcentral.
GAUCAUGGCUCAGGAUGAACGCUAGCGACAGGCUUAACACAUGCAAGUCGAGGGGCAGCGGGGAGUGGCGACACUCUGCCGGCGACCGGCGCACGGGUGCGUAACACGUGUGCAACCUGCCCGUCACCGGGGGAUAACCCGUGGAAACGCGGACUAAAACCCCAUGAGACGAGAAUGGCGCAUGCCAUGAACGUUAAAACGGAGGUGGUGACGGAUGGGCACGCGGGACAUUAGGUAGUUGGCGGGGUAACCGG